This 1967-nucleotide long non-coding RNA is filed under the name Homo sapiens (human). Its description in RNAcentral is "HSALNT0173313". The record is from RNAcentral. Lineage: Eukaryota; Metazoa; Chordata; Mammalia; Primates; Hominidae.
GUGAGUACCGGCUAGUAUCGCGAGAUCAGGAAGGUGGCCGAGUGUGUCGCCGCGGCCAUCAGGCACUUCUCCUUCCUGCCCUUGUAUGAAGAAGGAUGUGUUUGCUUCCCCUUGUGCCAUGAUUGUAAAUUUCCUGAGGCCUCCUCAGCCCUGCAGAACUGGCUAGAGCAAUGUAUCUUAGGCUCACUUAAGGAAGCUGUAGAGAUGAGCCCAAGGAGGGAAACCAGAAGAGCCCCCCAGGCUCACCAGUUGUUUGUUGGCUCCCUACAAACAUGUCAUUCAAGUGGCUAAUCUUACAACAGCACAAAUUCAUCUAACCAGAGAUACUCUAUUAUAGCAAAGAAGAAAGAUAAUUUCAUUGAGCCAUCCUGUUUUACAGUAUUGAAUUAUUACCACAAGGUACCAACCAUAUAUGCAUACUUAAUAGGGUAUUUUGUCAAAACUAUGCAUGAAGGUCAUUUGUUUGAGAUGUCAGAACAUUUUCCCGUGAGAAGAUCUCAUUGGGCAUUGAAACAGAACCACAUGCUCUUCAGACCAGCAACCGCGACUACCAAAUACUCCUCUGUCAACUCUACUUGACACCCAACAGAAUCCCUUCAAAGCCUCGUGGUCUGACACCCUAUGCUACGUGACUUGUGACCCAUCCAUUUGUCAUGUUCUUCGGGAAUGUGGCUAAGGGGCUAAGAUGUGACUUGAAAAGAAAGGUAGAACAAGAUCAUCUCAAAUUUAUUAUCAAGGAAUAGUUCAGAAAACGACUUCAGACCACAGAGACAGCAGAACAGAUGGUCCGGCAUGGAUAGAGCAUCAGACACUCACAGACUGUGCCAACAAGAGCCAUCGAGUCAAAACAGCCAAAGGAAGGAGGGUCAUGGAAUGGGUUCUCUCACACCAAACUGAUGCCCAGAGGCCCUCAGCAUGAAUAACAAAGGCAACCAGACCCACAAGCCAUACUGAGUGGAUACAAAACCUAUACCUAGGCUGACAUCCCAAAUGUGUGUGGCAAGUUAGAUGAUGAUGGCACAAAAGACAGAACACCUUGCUUCUGGCCAUUGUCAGCUCUUGGAAGAGAGCACACUUUUAGAGGAGCAGCUGCAAGGAGCCUGAGAACAAAACUGGAAAUGUCUGUUAUGAAAGCCUUCACAGGAAAUUCUGCAAGUGGCAACGUGGGUCCAUUCCGUGUGUGUCACUAGAGCUGGCGCAAGCCCAUGGCCAUGGUGAGGCAGCGUUUCCACUGGAACUAAUCUGAUACCUGCACCAGCUCUUGCAACUGUGCAGUGUUCCCACUGCAAACUACGGAUGGGGUAAAAGACUGCUCACCUCCUAUUUCUCAUCUAAUCUCACACACUCUGUUUGAUGAGGCUAUGGAGAAACAGGUCUUCUCAUACACUAAAGGUGGGAGUACAAACAAUUCAAGCCCUGUGCAGGACAAUUAGGCAAUACCUAUCAAAAUUAUACAUGAUUUUUCCUGCUGACCCAGCAAUUCCACUUCUGGGAAUAAUUGACAGAUAUAGGUGCAUAUGUACAAAAUGAUGGAAAGCUCUCUGGUAUAUAUUAGUAAGUGAUAAAACAAGGUGUAAAAUAGUGUAUAUAUGGCUACUACCUUUUGUUUUAAAAAUGGGGGAAAAUGGUGGAGCUUGCGGUGAGCCGAGAUCGUGCCACUGCACUCCAGCCUGGGCGACAGAGCGAGACUCCGUCUCAAAAAAAAAACAGGGUGGGGUGGGGGGGAAAUAAUAGUACAUACUCAUAUUUACCUGUAUCUAUAUAAAACACACUAUCAAGGAUUCACAAGAAACUAAUACAAAUGAUCACCUUAUAGAUGGUAUGUAUUGGGGGAUACUGAGGUGAGCAGGGUAUAAGUGGGGCAAGACUUUUCAGUGUAAACUUCUUUUAAAUUUUAUUUUGAUUUUUGAAUAAUGUAAAUUAACUGUCAAAUAAUUAAAUUAAAAAUAACCAAUUUAUUAACAAAA